CCAGGUCCUCCGCGCGGUGGUACCUUGCCGAACUCCCCCAGGGUCGGAAGACAGCAAGGGUAGGCGAGCUCUUCCAGGUGCGCGGAGGGCCCCUUUC
Molecule: signal recognition particle RNA, 97 nt
Filed under: Propionibacteriaceae bacterium
Lineage: Bacteria; Bacillati; Actinomycetota; Actinomycetes; Propionibacteriales; Propionibacteriaceae
Description: signal recognition particle sRNA small type
Rfam family: Bacterial small signal recognition particle RNA
About the family: The signal recognition particle (SRP) is a universally conserved ribonucleoprotein involved in the co-translational targeting of proteins to membranes. Archaeal SRP consists of a 7S RNA and homologues of the eukaryotic SRP19 and SRP54 proteins.
Source: RNAcentral